GUCCUAGCCGUAACAAUGGAUACUAGGUGUUGAACAGAUCGACCUGUGCAGUACCAAAGCUAACGCGUUAAGUAUCCCGCCUGGGAAGUAUGCACGCAAGUGUGAAACUCAAAGGAAUUGACGGGGGCCCGCACAAGCGGUGGAGCAUGUGGUUUAAUUCGAUGCAACGCGAAGAACCUUACCAGGGUUUGACAUGAUACGAAUUUCUUUGAAAGAAGAAAGUGCCUUUUGGAACGUAUACACAGGUGGUGCAUGGCUGUCGU
This 263-nucleotide ribosomal RNA is filed under the name uncultured bacterium. Its description in RNAcentral is "partial 16S ribosomal RNA". It matches the Rfam family "Bacterial small subunit ribosomal RNA", at positions 793 to 1055 of the family's 1533-position model. The record is from RNAcentral.